AGCUUUGCACAGUGGCAGUAUCAGCCAAUGAGGUUUACCCGAGGUGCGAUUAUUGCUAAUUGAAAACUUUUCCCAAUACCCUGCCUGACAACUUGCAAUAUAGUCGGCACUGGCAAUUUUUGACAGUCUCUGAUUAUUCAGUCAGA
This is a small nuclear RNA of Apodemus sylvaticus (European woodmouse), 146 nucleotides long. RefSeq annotates it as U4 spliceosomal RNA. NCBI's taxonomy places the organism in Eukaryota, Metazoa, Chordata, Mammalia, Rodentia, Muridae. The transcript has a single exon. The record is from RefSeq and is a predicted model, not a curated record.